AGUUGUUUUCUAAUUUAACAGAAGAUGAGCAUCACGUUGUUUGGUUCUGGCUAGAGAAGGGCAAGCCACAUGAAUGCCCAGUAUGCACACAGUAUUUUGUAGUCAUGAAAGUUCCCAGGUCAUGAAAGAGUUUUUAUCUUUCAGGAGCAUACUUAUGUUCAACUGCCAGGAUUCAGAUUUCAGCCCAAUCUCAUACAAAUGUUGGAGUACCUACAAUCUUUGUACUUUUGUCUUUCCUGCAAACUACUCGUGUAACUUUGUUCUACAAAUGAAUGUAAUAUACUAUGAACCAUGUUAUGUUAAUAUUUAGUUUAAUGAUCUCUCCUUUAUUUGCA
Lycium ferocissimum is the source of this 335-nucleotide long non-coding RNA. RefSeq lists it as uncharacterized. The transcript is spliced from 2 exons. The record is from RefSeq and is a predicted model, not a curated record. Lineage: Eukaryota; Viridiplantae; Streptophyta; Magnoliopsida; Solanales; Solanaceae.